Long non-coding RNA from Dendroctonus ponderosae (mountain pine beetle), 343 nucleotides. RefSeq lists it as uncharacterized. NCBI's taxonomy places the organism in Eukaryota, Metazoa, Arthropoda, Insecta, Coleoptera, Curculionidae. The transcript has 3 exons. The record is from RefSeq and is a predicted model, not a curated record.
GCUCAUAUAUGCCUCUGAAGCUAUUAAUAUUUUGAGUAACUUCUGUAUGUUUUGGCGUAGCUACCGUAACCAUCUUACGAUGGUAAAGACAGAACAACGCUGCCAAUGAAUUGUAUUCAAGUACCUGUCACGGACCCUAUGCACAAUAAAAGUGAGGCAAAGUCAAAAUGUAGGCAACCCUCUGUCCUGACGGUUGUAUGUCUCUUUCUAUCUCAUUGACAUCCGGAGAUUUGCAGCAAUAUUUAGCAAUUUUGGUUUUUCUUAAACAGUUAAAGUUUAAAAAAUCGUAACUACAAUUCUGAAGUGGAAUAAUUAAGCAAAAGCAAAACUAAUACGUGAAAUA